UAUAUGAAUUUAUGAGAGGAAUAGUGUAAAAGAUUGAAAAAUUAUUAGAAAAUGGAUAUUUUUUGGUGAAAUUUAUAUUUUAUAAUUUAUUGGAGAAAUCUUUUUAAAAAUCAUAUAUGUAUUAUGGGGAUUUAGGAAUAGAAUCUAAAUAAUUUGGCGGUCUUGAGACUAAUUAGAGGAACUUGUUCUGUUAUAGAUGGUGCACGAAUUUUUAACUUUAAGAAUUAAUUUGUAUACCGCCGUUGUUAGGAUAAGGAUUUUUAUUCUGGAUUUUGAACAAAAAAACUUCAGGUCAAGGUGCAGUUUAUAUUGAGGGUUGAAGUGAGUUACAUUGAGAAUAUUUAUACGAAUAUUUUCCCAAAAGGGAUGAUGGAAGGUGGAUUUAAUAGUAAUAGUAUUUAAAUAAGAUAAUGAGAAGAAGGAUUUUGGG
Molecule: ribosomal RNA, 430 nt
Filed under: Leptopsalis sp. RMC-2015
Lineage: Eukaryota; Metazoa; Arthropoda; Arachnida; Opiliones; Stylocellidae
Description: partial 12S ribosomal RNA
Source: RNAcentral